This 208-nucleotide ribosomal RNA is filed under the name Staphylococcus xylosus. RNAcentral's name for it is "partial 16S ribosomal RNA". It matches the Rfam family "Bacterial small subunit ribosomal RNA", at positions 327 to 523 of the family's 1533-position model. Lineage: Bacteria; Bacillati; Bacillota; Bacilli; Caryophanales; Staphylococcaceae. The record is from RNAcentral.
CGGUCCAGACUCCUACGGGAGGCAGCAGUAGGGAAUCUUCCGCAAUGGGCGAAAGCCUGACGGAGCAACGCCGCGUGAGUGAUGAAGGGUUUCGGCUCGUAAAACUCUGUUAUUAGGGAAAGAGAACAAAUGUGUAAAGUAACUGUGCACAUCUUGACGGUACCUAAUCAGAAAGCCACGGCUAACUACGUGCCAGCAGCCGCGGUAA